GAUAUAAGUAGAGCGGCGGACGGGUGAGUAACGCGUAGGAAUCUACCUAGUAGAAGGGGAUAGCCCGGGGAAACUCGGAUUAAUACCGUAUACCUCCUUCGGGAGAAAGAAGGCCUCUCUUUGAUGCUUUCGCUAUUAGAUGAGCCUGCGUAAGAUUAGCUUGUUGGUGAGGUAAAGGCUCACCAAGGCGACGAUCUUUAGCUGGUCUGAGAGGACGAUCAGCCACAUUGGGACUGAGACACGGCCCAGACUCCUACGGGAGGCAGCAGUGGGGAAUAUUGGACAAUGGGCGCAAGCCUGAUCCAGCCAUACCGCGUGUGUGAAGAAGGCCUUCGGGUUGUAAAGCACUUUAAGCAGGGAGAAAAAGCUAUAAGUUAAUACCUUAUAGCCGUGAUGUUACCUGCAGAAUAAGCACCGGCUAAUUCCGUGCCAGCAGCCGCGGUAAUACGGAAGGUGCAAGCGUUAAUCGGAAUUACUGGGCGUAAAGCGCGCGUAGGUGGUUUGUUAAGUUGGAUGUGAAAGCCCUGGGCUCAACCUAGGAACUGCAUCCAAAACUAACUCACUAGAGUACGAUAGAGGGAGGUAGAAUUCAUAGUGUAGCGGUGGAAUGCGUAGAUAUUAUGAAGAAUACCAGUGGCGAAGGCGGCCUCCUGGAUCUGUACUGACACUGAGGUGCGAAAGCGUGGGUAGCGAACGGGAUUAGAUACCCUGGUAG
RNAcentral lists this ribosomal RNA (715 nucleotides) under uncultured Gammaproteobacteria bacterium. RNAcentral's name for it is "bacterial SSU rRNA". It matches the Rfam family "Bacterial small subunit ribosomal RNA", at positions 83 to 793 of the family's 1533-position model. Lineage: Bacteria; Pseudomonadati; Pseudomonadota; Gammaproteobacteria. The record is from RNAcentral.